RNAcentral lists this unclassified non-coding RNA (239 nucleotides) under Hevea brasiliensis (rubber tree). Lineage: Eukaryota; Viridiplantae; Streptophyta; Magnoliopsida; Malpighiales; Euphorbiaceae. The record is from RNAcentral.
CCUUUUUUUAUUUUUUAUUUUUUGAUUUGUUGGAAUAUAUUGCUUGUGAGAACAAGUCCCACAUCGACAGUGUAGAAGAAAAUUAAAGGGCAUAUAAGUGUUGGCAAACCAAACCAAAAUGGCUUAGGCCAUUUUGGUGAUGGGUAGCCCAGUUUAGUAUGGAGGCCUGCCAACUGUUAUUUCAAUAGGAUGAUGUGCAGAAUAAUGAUAUAUCUAGUCAUUUUGGUUAUAGAGAAACU